RNAcentral lists this ribosomal RNA (395 nucleotides) under uncultured bacterium. RNAcentral's name for it is "bacterial SSU rRNA". It matches the Rfam family "Bacterial small subunit ribosomal RNA", at positions 28 to 417 of the family's 1533-position model. The record is from RNAcentral.
AACGAACGCUGGCGGCGUGCUUAACACAUGCAAGUCGAACGUGAAAGGCUUCGGCCGAGUAAAGUGGCGCACGGGUGAGUAACGCGUGGGUAAUCUGCCCUUGGGCGGGGGAUAACCUCUCGAAAGGGGGGCUAAUACCGCAUGAGACCACGGCUUCUCGGGGCUGUGGGAAAAGGUGGGUCGCAAGGCCUGCCACCUGAGGAUGAGCCCGCGUACCAUUAGGUUGUUGGUGGGGUAAUGGCCUACCAAGCCGAAGAUGGUUAGCUGGUCUGAGAGGAUGAUCCGCCACACUGGGACUGAGACACGGCCCAGACUCCUACGGGAGGCAGCAGUGGGGAAUUUUGGACAAUGGGCGCAAGCCUGAUCCAGCCAUGCCGCGUGAGUGAAGAAGGCCU